This 460-nucleotide ribosomal RNA is filed under the name uncultured bacterium. RNAcentral's name for it is "partial 16S ribosomal RNA". It matches the Rfam family "Bacterial small subunit ribosomal RNA", at positions 338 to 795 of the family's 1533-position model. The record is from RNAcentral.
CCUACGGGUGGCAGCAGUGAGGAAUAUUGGUCAAUGGGCGUAAGCCUGAACCAGCCAAGUAGCGUGCAGGAUGACGGCCCUACGGGUUGUAAACUGCUUUUAUGCGGGGAUAACGUGCCUUACGUGUAGUGCUUUGCAUGUACCGCAUGAAUAAGGACCGGCUAAUUCCGUGCCAGCAGCCGCGGUAAUAUGGAAGGUCCGGGCGUUAUCCGGAUUUAUUGGGUUUAAAGGGAGCGUAGGCCGCAUGUCAAGCGUGCUGUGAAAUGCCCGGGCUCAACCCGGGCCCUGCGGCGCGAACUGGCGUGCUUGAGUGCGCGGAAAGCAGGCGGAAUUCGUGGUGUAGCGGUGAAAUGCUUAGAUAUGACGAAGAACCCCGAUUGCGAAGGCAGCAUGCUGCAGCGGAACUGACGCUGAUGCUCGAAGGCGCGGGUAUCGAACAGGAUUAGAUACCCGGGUAGUC